Molecule: ribosomal RNA, 222 nt
Filed under: Listeria monocytogenes
Lineage: Bacteria; Bacillati; Bacillota; Bacilli; Caryophanales; Listeriaceae
Description: partial 16S ribosomal RNA
Rfam family: Bacterial small subunit ribosomal RNA
Source: RNAcentral
UGAAGCCGGAAUCGCUAGUAAUCGUGGAUCAGCAUGCCACGGUGAAUACGUUCCCGGGCCUUGUACACACCGGCCGUCACACCCCGAGAGUUUGUAACACCAUAAGUGGGUAGGGUGAGCUUUAUGGGGCCAUCCGCCGAAGUUGGGACAGAUAAUUGGGUUGAAGUCGUAACAAGGUAGCCGUAUCGGAAGGUGCGGCUGGCUCACCUCCUUUCUAAGGAA